AUUUUACCGUCAGAUCAAGGUGCCGGGGAAAUCUCCGGGUAAAAGGGAAUUCGGUGAGGCUGUCGCCAAAUCCGAAGCUGCCCCCGCAACUGUAGGCGGAGAGCCUGUCCGACAUGCCACUGGCGCGGAUUUCGCGCCGGGAAAGCUGGACCAGGUAAAGAUCCGCAAGUCAGGAAACCUGCCUGGAUCAAUCACCUGUU
Molecule: non-coding RNA, 200 nt
Filed under: Paracoccus denitrificans
Lineage: Bacteria; Pseudomonadati; Pseudomonadota; Alphaproteobacteria; Rhodobacterales; Paracoccaceae
Also listed under: 1 other name
Source: RNAcentral